RNAcentral lists this ribosomal RNA (499 nucleotides) under uncultured Herbiconiux sp. Its description in RNAcentral is "bacterial SSU rRNA". It matches the Rfam family "Bacterial small subunit ribosomal RNA", at positions 521 to 1016 of the family's 1533-position model. The record is from RNAcentral. Lineage: Bacteria; Bacillati; Actinomycetota; Actinomycetes; Micrococcales; Microbacteriaceae.
UAAUACGUAGGGUGCAAGCGUUGUCCGGAUUUAUUGGGCGUAAAGAGCUCGUAGGCGGUUAGACACGUCGGAUGUGAAAACUGGAGGCUCAACCUCCAGCCUGCAUUCGAUACGGUCUGACUUGAAUGUGGUAGGGGUAACUGGAAUUCCUGGUGUAGCGGUGAAAUGCGCAGAUAUCAGGAGGAACACCGAUGGCGAAGGCAGGUUACUGGGCCAAUAUUGACGCUGAGGAGCGAAGGCGUGGGGAGCGAACAGGAUUAGAUACCCUGGUAGUCCACGCCGUAAACGGUGGGUACUAGAUGUGGGGACCUUUCCAUGGUUUCUGCGUCGCAGCUAACGCAUUAAGUGCCCCGCCUGGGGAGUACGGCCGCAAGGCUAAAACUCAAAGGAAUUGACGGGGGCCCGCACAAGCAGCGGAGCAUGCGGCUUAAUUCGAUGCAACGCGAAGAACCUUACCUAGGCUUGACAUAUAGAGAAAUCUCACAGAGAUGUGAGGUCC